RNAcentral lists this long non-coding RNA (1474 nucleotides) under Bos taurus (domestic cattle). RNAcentral describes it as "long non-coding RNA NONBTAT026994". Lineage: Eukaryota; Metazoa; Chordata; Mammalia; Artiodactyla; Bovidae. The record is from RNAcentral.
UAACAUAAACUUUCUGAUUAAAAUUACAGAUACGCAUGUACAAAUAUAGAGGUGAGAAAAGAUAUAUCUGUGCUGUGUAUUAUUUUAUAUACAUAAGAUUGGCAAUUCGAGAUAACCAAGCUUAAAAUAAAGUCCCAUUUUUGGCCAAGUAGACUUGCAUGCCAACACAAAGACAUUAUGGUAUUAAAACCAUAUGCAAUUCUAGCCAUAUUUUUCUCUUUUCUCUUCAUGGGUAUUGCAUGAUGGUAUUUCUAAUACAAAUACUAAUAUGCUUUGGAAAUAAUGGCACUCGCAGGUCUUUCAUCAUAUUGUAUCACUGCUUUAUCAUAUUAGGCUAAUACACUGCGAGAGUUGGUAGAACCUCUCCAUGCCAAAUCGGAUCCACUUCUGUUGGCACUCAACCCAUUGGACUCACAGAUUGAUAAGCUAAUGUUUAGAGAAUUUAGAUCGGAGAGAGUCGGCACGACGCAGACUUAACAUCAACCUCUUGCAAGCAACUAAAAUGGCCUCGACCUUGCUGUUUAUAACAGAAAACAGACUUUUAAAAGCUUAGAUCAUCAAGUGUUUUGGAUUGGGGGCCUCCCUAAAGGGAUAUUAAGAGGGGCAGGCCACUCUUAAGAAGAAUGCAAGCUUUCUUCACUGGGACUAGCAUAAGAUCAAAGCCAGUCAAGAUGGAGCACAGUGACAGAAAACUGCUGUUUCUGUGGGUGAACAGAGGCAAAGGGUACUGACUGGGGAAGGGCUCAGUUGUGUUCUCCUGUCACAGGAAAGGAGAGGGAUCAGCUCCAAUAACUAGAAAACCCUGGCUGUUCAAUGGACUCUUAAGUGGCCUCUUGAAGGCAAAGCAGAGAAAGCGAAUUCUGUGUGUUAAGUGUAUUUUUGCAUUUUUAAAAUUUGACGUGCUGUAUUGUACUACAUUAAGUGUAAUCUAUUAAGGCAAGGUAUCUACAACCUGCUCUGAAACUUACUAUGUUUAUUCUAUUAUAAAGUGUAUUCAGGUGCAACACAGAGACUGCUUUCAGUGGCACUAAUGAAGAAAAUGCCACAUGCCAGGCUUUAGUAGAUUCCUCAGCUAAAAUCCUAACUUUCUCCUUACUUCUUGGCACUUGUAUACAAAUGGUGUUGCCUCAUAGGACAGGCAUGAGCUAUUCUUUUCUGUAAAAUUUUCCAAAUCUAUAGGCUGUGGUUUUCACUUUGGAAAAAGUAUUUUGUCUGGUUGUCUUUCAAAAUAGUUUCAGAUAUUAUUUAAUACUAUGUAACUGGGUCCCUUAUGGCUCAAUAUUGCUUAUUUUUCUUCUGUAGUGGAUGUGAAAUUUCCUUUAUUUAGUUGGAUAAGAUACUCUGUAAUAAUUUUAAUGCUAAUUAAUGGAUAUUUCAUACUGUGCAAUGAACAGAUAAUUUAACAUUGUAUUUGGAAAUGUUUUUUUUUCUUCCUGUCGCCGCAGUGUGUGGUAUUGCAUAAUGUGAAUACUUG